RNAcentral lists this ribosomal RNA (868 nucleotides) under uncultured Alphaproteobacteria bacterium. RNAcentral's name for it is "bacterial SSU rRNA". It matches the Rfam family "Bacterial small subunit ribosomal RNA", at positions 621 to 1500 of the family's 1533-position model. Lineage: Bacteria; Pseudomonadati; Pseudomonadota; Alphaproteobacteria. The record is from RNAcentral.
CUGCCAUUAAAACUUUUCAGCUAGAGUAUGAUAGAGGAAAGCAGAAUUUCUAGUGUAGAGGUGAAAUUCGUAGAUAUUAGAAAGAAUACCAAUUGCGAAGGCAGCUUUCUGGAUCAUUACUGACACUGAGGAACGAAAGCAUGGGUAGCGAAGAGGAUUAGAUACCCUCGUAGUCCAUGCCGUAAACGAUGUGUGUUAGACGUUGGAAAUUUAUUUUCAGUGUCGCAGCGAAAGCGAUAAACACACCGCCUGGGGAGUACGACCGCAAGGUUAAAACUCAAAUGAAUUGACGGGGACCCGCACAAGUAGUGGAGCAUGUGGUUUAAUUCGAAGAUACGCGCAGAACCUUACCAACACUUGACAUGUUCGUCGCGACUCUAAGAGAUUAGAGUUUUCGGUUCGGCCGGACGAAACACAGGUGCUGCAUGGCUGUCGUCAGCUCGUGUCGUGAGAUGUUGGGUUAAGUCCCGCAACGAGCGCAACCCUCACUUUUAGUUGCCAUCAUUAAGUUGGGCACUCUGAAAGAACUGCCAGUGAUAAGCUGGAGGAAGGUGGGGAUGACGUCAAGUCCUCAUGGCCCUUACGUGUUGGGCUACACACGUGCUACAAUGGUAUCUACAACAGGAAGCAAGGCUGCGAGGUCAAGCAAAUCCCUAAAAGAUACCUCAGUUCGGAUUGCACUCUGCAACUCGAGUGCAUGAAGCUGGAAUUACUAGUAAUCGUGGAUCAGCGUGCCACGGUGAAUGCGUUCCCGGGUCUUGUACACACCGCCCGUCACACCAUGGGAGUUGGUUCUACCUUAAGGCAAGGUUUCAAACCCUUGACCACGGUAUAGUCAGCGACUGGGGUGAAGUCGUAACAAGGUAAC